GACGAACGCUGGCGGCGUGCUUAACACAUGCAAGUCGAACGGUGAAGCGCCUUCCUUUUUGGUGGGUGUGGAUGAGUGGCGAACGGGUGAGUAACACGUGAGUAACAUGCCCCCUUCUUCUGGAUAACCGCAUGAAAGUGUGGCUAAUACGGGAUAUUCUGGGUCUGUCGCAUGAUGGGUCUGGGAAAGAUAUUGUUUCGGUGGGGGAUGGGCUCGCGGCCUAUCAGCUUGUUGGUGGGGUGAUGGCCUACCAAGGCGGUGACGGGUAGCCGGCCUGAGAGGGUGGACGGUCACACUGGGACUGAGACACGGCCCAGACUCCUACGGGAGGCAGCAGUGGGGAAUAGUGCACAAUGGGCGCAAGCCUGAUGCAGCGACGCCGCGUGAGGGAUGGAGGCCUUCGGGUUGUGAACCUCUUUCGCCAGUGAAGCAGGCCUGCCUCGUUUGUGGGUGGGUUGACGGUAGCUGGAUAAGAAGCGCCGGCUAACUACGUG
Molecule: ribosomal RNA, 494 nt
Filed under: uncultured bacterium
Lineage: Bacteria
Description: partial 16S ribosomal RNA
Rfam family: Bacterial small subunit ribosomal RNA
Source: RNAcentral